Molecule: ribosomal RNA, 253 nt
Filed under: uncultured bacterium
Lineage: Bacteria
Description: partial 16S ribosomal RNA
Rfam family: Bacterial small subunit ribosomal RNA
Source: RNAcentral
GACGAACCGUGCGAACGUUAUUCGGAAUCACUGGGCUUAAAGGGCGCGUAGGCGGGUUGCCAAGUCUGUGGUGAAAUCCUCCAGCUUAACUGGAGAACGGCCGUGGAUACUGGCGACCUCGAGGGGGGUAGGGGCUUGCGGAACUGUGCGUGGAGCGGUGAAAUGCGUUGAUAUGCACAGGAACUCCGGUGGCGAAGGCGGCGAGCUAGACCCUUUCUGACGCUGAGGCGCGAAAGCCAGGGGAGCGAACGGG